AAUAAAUCACACAGUCUUUAAAAUUUGCUUUACCAAGUACGUCAAAUCUAGUGGAUCACCCACAUCGCCUGGUAGAUGGCAUCCUGACAGAAGCAGGAAGUCACGUGUCUUCAUUGUGUCAGUGGUACGCCGUGAAUUAAGCCGCAGUCUGUGCAGUAUCCUCCUGCGCAUUCAUGAUGUCCUAGUACCGUUGACAUCUGCGCGAUUUAUCUUUCUUCAGCCGGGACAAAUUGAAUUUACUCGCCACAGGAAGGGCUCGUCUGUCAUCCUCCAGACGACGACCGUGUCCGUUUCCUGCUGUCCUGAUUGCGCGUAUGCUCGCACUAUAAAAACAAAACCUGUCUGACGUGACACGGACAAGCGGGUGUCACGUGCGUGUACCGGACAACAGGUGUUUUGAUUCGCGACGAACGUAUGCUUACAGGUAUAUGCAUAUUGUACAUACAGAUUCAUUGCUUAAGUAUUUAAUUAUUGAUUGCGUAUUAGUGAAGGCGUUUUACCGAUGGCGUAUUACUGAUGACGCAUUAGUGAUGGUGUAUGCAAUUAGUGCAUUUGGGGACGCCAUUUUGUAAACAUUCUGUAAGCACAUUGCUUACAGUGCUUCCCAUAAGGGUUUUGUAGAUUAACAUGAAAGUGUAGUACUGUUUAAACAGUGACAGUAUUUUUGAACAUAACUGUGCAAAGGUGAUAGGUUAAGUGACAACCCACUGUACAAAAAUGAUAGGUUAAGGGACAACCCACUGUGACAACCCACUAUGCAAAACUUGAUAGGUUAAGUGACAAGUCUUUAACUAUGAGAGUACUAUUAGCACUGUUUACAGUCCAUAAAGCUACAUAAAAAAAUCAAUGCAAUUCAUACAAGACUAUAUGUAUAGACUUCUCUUCAGUCUCUCCAGUUAAAAAUAAUCGAAUGCGGCACGCGCCGUCCCCUGCGCGCCAGCCAAUAUGCGAGGUACGCACUGCGGACAGUAGUGGUGUAUGAAACAACAACGUCGAUGUUGGUGAAUGCCAGUUACCUUCAGGAGACCAGAAAGUCGACACACGAUCCGUCCACGUAUACGCGAUCAUGGUACCCUGGUAAUGUUCGUGUCUACUCGUCUCUGUCCGUACGACAAGCAAACAUAAUUUACGAGGUCCGCGACCUCUCACGUUCGCAGCCCCGAUGUUGGGGAAUGACGAGCCGAAGCGAGGAAUGCGGCCGUGAAAUGGAGGAGGAUUAAGCGUUCUUGGAUAACAGAAGAUCAUAACGCAGACUGGCUUUCUUUGUGGCCAGGGAUAAUUGAGGAUCUCUGGGAGUCAAGGAAAUUGAUAAGCAAAAAUUCUUUUAGUUCAAAUUAUAUAUUUUCACAUAAUCUAAAAUGUGUCGUACAAACUACAUAGUAUGCUUAUGGUCAUAUGAUGAUAGUGGAUUAUGCAUACUGUAAUUGUUAUUAUAAAUGUAUGAAAAAUUAUUUUUAUGAACGGUUCAAAUUCUUGUCACAUAACUUAAAAUGUCAUGCAAACUACAUACUAUACUUAUGAUCAUAUGAUAGUAGAUUAUGCAUACUAUAAUUGUGAUUAUAAAUGUAUGACAAAUUAUUUUCAUGAACUGUAUGUCUCAGCCUAUGAGACAGAUAAUGACAUAACCUAUAAUUUCCGUCAUUUCUCUUCGUCUUUUAUUUUUUGUUUAAACUGUUUUUUUAAGUUACAUAAUUUUACAGUGACGAUUGCCUUCAAAGCACAAAGUCCUUCAGGACAUGGUUCCCUAAUACCACUGACAUCCAAGCGAUUUGUCUUGCUUCCCCACCAGGCAAUCGCGUUUUACGACAGGGUUUUAUGUGCCUCCGACGAAUGGCGAGGCCCGUUUCCUGUUAACGCUGAAAGCACCGGAAAGGCAGGUCCUGGUGGACCUCGAUGCUUCCAUGCUUCCCUGAUGCUACAAUAUUCCGAAUUGUCAGAAAAAAAGUGCUCGGAAUGUCGGUCGAUUUACCCCUCCUCAUUUGUAUAAUCCACUUAUUUUUUCGGUGAUGAGGAACGUGAAACAUUGUGGCGGAUAUCGUUACAUUAUUUUAAGCUACUUCCUCUUGUAAAUUGUUACAAAGACAACUGUAUAAAUAUUAAUAGUGGAGAGAUAUGAAUGUUUAUUGUAAUGUCCGAGGGGAUGUGUAUUGAUUGGCCUAAGUCUGUGAUUGGCACGAGUGCCUAUUGGAUUUUAUGGUGAUUAUGAACAGCGGUGUGUACAUCUAGAGAGAAGUAUGUCUAAGACCAAGCCUAAGCUAGGACGCAAGAUUAAAUAUUCAUCAUAUACUUCAAUCCUGAAUUGUAAAAGGGUGUCUUUCUGAAACGGUGGAAGUGGAUAUCCUAUUGAACGGCUCCCCCAAGCCGAAGCCACAAAGCCAGCUAGAAUUAACAGCGCACAGUCGUAAAGGGGAAGCAAAUGCCGAUUGACCUCCUCAUCGUCCUACAAGCUGGAUAGAGUUUCUAUGAAUGUUCCGUCGCCGCCCACAACCCUUUCUCGUUUCUUCGCAUUUUGUCUCCUACGAUUUCCGCGGAAUGCGUGGAACGAUCGAGCAUUCAUAAACACCCGUGCGUUCAACUCGAAUCCUCUUGGAGACAAGUGGUCGGGAAAUGGAUUAAAUCGAGGGAGGAAGAGAAGACCACGAAAGCUUGAGAUUCUCGAACGUUAUAACUUCCUGCUCCCUGUCACCGCAUUCCUUUUAUGCGGAGUCACUCGAGCGAAACGACGGAAUUAGAAUUCAUUUGUAUCGUCGUCAUUCUGUCUAAAUAAACCUUUCUCUUGCUUUCGUGCGAUUAAGGACGACGGUUAUGUAUUAUUUAUGAUCUGCUUUUGUGGUUUCAGGAUAUGCUUUGGACAUACUUGGUACAUACGAUAGCUGGUUUUAUCGAUUCAUCUAUUACCAAGGGUUUAUUUGGAUUUGUUAAGAUGCUUUGGAGAUAUUAUCAGCUAAUCGAUAGCAUGAAGCACUUUAGGGAUGUGAGAUAUGAAGUACGAGGUAUUCCUUCAAAAGCAAAAUAUGAACCUGUCUCAAGGGCUAUACCGAAGGGUAGGCGUCGAACGUGACGGAUCGAUCGUGACAAGCGACCCCCGACAUGCUACCCUGUUCCAGCACCCCAAGAUUCUUUUGUUCUCCGCAAAUUGUCGUAGGUUAUGAUUUUCCUUGGCCGUGAUCCGAACAACAGAUUUCUCGGUCUCAUAUUACCCUGUCACAUGGAGGAGUUGCUCCAUUGUCCUCAGCUUUCUUGGGUCGUUCAAGACACCGCAUCUCCGCGUAUCCAUGCAAAGCAUUCUUCUUGCAUCGUCGUUCUAUCCGCACGGAACAGAGCGAUCCGGUGUUCCCGACGUACACAAAAUGGCCGGGUCAGGUAAAAAUUCAGUUGGACCACUUCUCGACUCCUUUGGAAUGUUAACUCCACCGCGAUCAUUCACUCCUUGCACCCGGCUUCUGCAAAUUACUCUUCGCUCAUGAAAUCCUGAUACUUAAUGGUACUCAACUGUCACCGAUCAUCGCUGAUUGAUUUAUGCCCUUGACCCGGAGGUUUAUAGAUAGAAGGGUCUUAUGCAAUGGGAAGCUACUGGUGUGGCAACGUUAUCUUUGCAAUUGGGUAAGCGGUGUUUUGAAACCCUAUUCUUGCUUUUGGAUCCGUAGAUUUCCGAGUAGAGAAAAUAAGUGGUGCUCGAUAUCUGUGAAUGUGGGACUUGUGCUUACCCUAGGGCCUAGGCUAAUCUGUAGUACCCCAGGUCCUAGGACUUUGAUUGUCCUGGCUUCUUAUGUCCUAGAGCUCUUUUGACUUUCUCCAACUUCUCAUGUUUUUUAAAAAUGACUACUUUUCAAAGUCUAAUGAAUUUCAUUGUGUUACUAUUUCAGAUUGUAGCCAGCAUACUCUCGCAUUUCUCGAGUACCCAAACCAUUCCAUUUCUGAAGGACGCAGUCAGUCAUAUCACAUCGAAUAUCGAGAAAAAAAAAACUGGACCAACUUUUUUCGAUACCAGGAGGUCAUAGAACGUCCGUGGUCAGCCCGUCAACGGCAGGUGGGCCGUUCGUGGGGUUUCCAAUCAAUCGGUACCUUCCGGUGUUAUCAGAGUAACAUAAGUCCGGCGGGAAAACCGAACUUUCCUAUCGUUCGCAAGAAAAACGUGCGUGUCCCCCGAUGCGUCGCUCCUGAUAAACGGCGACGCGACCAAGACUUUUACGAGCCCCGAAAGAAAUCGUGGUAAGAAAAGAAGAUUCAUGGGGUGUCGGUGGUUCGAGACAACCCCCGUCCUUCAUUGCUUUCACAUAUGAGAACGUCUGGACGAUUGGAAUCGAAGGAAAGGGGUUUUAGUCGCUCAAGUGCUUCGAGUCACACAUCGUGACAGGGAUGCUAUGAGGGUUCAGGAGGUGUCCUAAUAUUCGUGGGGUCGUUCACCCCAAAAACAUUUCGAACGGGAGUGGUGGACGUCAAUUGAUUUUUUCUGGAUGAUUGAAUUUUAGCGGCGGUUUUGGUAUUCGUUGUAUUGCACUCGGUAUAAAUUAGUGGCUGGAUUCUCAUUUGUGUAAUUAGGGGGUUCAGGGGAGACUGUUUAAUUCCCUCACAGUUUAUUUCUCGGAGAAGAAAAUAUUGAACUUUAGCGUUUCAUAUUGAACUUUAACACCUUAAGUAGGUGCAUAUGUUACAUAUGAAAGUUUAGUAUAAGGUAUUCUUUUAGAUUCAAACUGAGUUUGUAUACAUUUAUACAUAUUUUGUUUAUUUUUGAAAUUCAUGUUAAACAUAUUCAGAGAGGUUGAAGACCGUUUGACAAUAGUGAGGUUAUGUCUAAGUUAAUCUGAUUUUUUAUAAAGCAAGAAAAUACAUAGCAGAGAAAUAGCAAAUUACUGAUUCACCAAUUUAAGUGUAGCAUCUAGUUAAAUAUAGUUAAACUAUAUUUGCAAUGUACUUAUUAUCAUUGUUGUAUAACAAAAAAAUUUACGGUUCUAAUUAUCAAAACCCGUCAGGCUUACUUUUCCCUUUCGUUAAGGUCCGAUCAAUAUCUGUUCGAACCUGCGCACUUGCAGCGACUCUCGCUUUCACCCUUCGAUUUCCAAGCCUUUCAGUCUGGUAGCUCCUUCGCACUAGACGCCCAUUAGUCUGACAGCUUGAAACCGACAAAAGAACCGAAAUGUAUGAUUCAAACCAAAUAAGCAGACGUAUAAAAAUGCUUCUUGCAAACAAACACCCCUCAUACGUUGCAAAAAUCUGAAGUAUCAUAUGUAUAAAAUAUCUGAAAAACCAAAUAUAAAAUAUCUGAAAUAACCAAAUAUCUUAAAGGAUGAAACUGACAAAGAAUAUCAGACCAUUUCACACAGUCAUAGAGUGACGUUAGAGUAACAUGGCUGCCAUAAAAAUUAAUCCAUCCUUGCAACGCAAUUAUCCAUAAGUCAUGCAAUGUCUGAUAGUCUACAUACAUACACCUAAUACAAACUUGAUAAACAGUAUGAAACUCAAAGUCCACAAUCGCCUGUCAAAACUGUCCAUUAACGCAUCAGAUCGAUGGCAUCAUAACUGGCUGAAGCACAAGGAGAGAAUGAAGCCUAAGGAGGUCUCAGCAUCCAGCUAAGUCGUUCUAACGGCCAGCCAUCCGAGCCCUACAUCCCGGAGUCCCAUUCAAAUGCGCCGAGUUAAAGGGUCGAGUUCCGAUCGUCCCGAUAAUUGGAAGGGCUAUCGGCAGUCUAUUGGUUUGAUCCCUCGUUCCCAGGCUACCAGAAGCACGCCGGUGGUCGUACGAAAUUCAUCUGUGUCCCACCGUGUACAUACACACCUCUCCGUCAGUGUGGCGCUCUUCAAGGUUCGUUGGACGCGCUUUCGAAAGCGUGAUCGGACAGGUCGGAAGUGGACCUGGAUUGGUACGUAUGUACUCGUAGGCGGACUACCCCGUGACAGGAAUAAUUUAAUCCGGUGCCCGAGGGAAAGGGUUGAAUAAAAUAUAUUCACAUAUUCGUAGCAGGCUGGUAUGCGACACCAGGAGGCUCAACGGUUGGACAAAGCCCUUUGGGGCGUUAUGGUGCUCUGGUGACUCGUCCUGUUCUUCGGAAACUGUCGUUUCCACUUCGGACCACAGGAAGGGAAACGGGUGGAGAAUUAAUGGGUGGAGAGGAUUCGGGUUACUGGUGUGGGAGAGAAAGGGUUCGUCUCGUCGGGAUUCCACCCACGCUUUUUUCACAGGAUAGCAUCCUCGCGAGGAACCCCCUCGACUCGCGGAGCUGCUUAGCGUUCCAGGAUUUCGAUUACUUGGACUUGAUUAGCGUCAAACUAUCACCAUCUUCUCUCAUACCAAAAAUUUAGCAUUUGAGAGAUUUGAGAGAUGUUUAAACAAAAAUGAGACAGUGUUGCAAAGUGAGACAGUGUUAUACAGUGAGACAGUGUUUUAAAAUGACAUAGUGCUUCACAUAAGUGCAUACAUGCUGUGUUAUGUCAUUUAUGACGUCCUACCCUGAGCUAUCAAGGUACACACAGUCUGCCAUUCACAUUUGUUCAAGAUGUGUCAUCCAUCAAGACAGUGGACUAUGAAAACAGUCCUAUGAAAGUUAGCCUAACCCCAUGCUGCCCCAAAUGAAAGGGUUCCGUCUUCACCUUCCGCCUGCAAACCUCCUACGUCCUGAUGGCUGCCUGAACAUUGUCACCUGCGGUGUAAUUAAUAUUCAUGUAUACCCUCAUGAAUAUGAUCCUACACGACACGUGCACAAUUGUAAUCAGAUUAUUCCAGAGCCCCCAUGCCAAACAUCCUCCGGAGGAUUUGAACUCGUUUCAUCCUACACAGAUUCGGUGGAUUGUGCAGGUAUCAGGGUGUCAUGAAAGUCCCAACCGAUUAUUGGAUGACACACAAAAGUGUUAGGGCAACAUAAAUCCAAGCUUCUUGCGCGUGAAAGGGGAUUAAGGAUGUAACAACGAACGAGACAAUUCUGGACAAUACAAGAGUAAACAAGGGGAUCAGGACAGGAUGAACGGCGAGGAGGAUGGACGGACGAAUUGGGGUGCGACAAACUAGGGGUGGCACGAAUUGCGGUUCAUUCUCCGCCAGGAGGCGGUUCGGAGGGUUAAUGGAUUGUGUCAUCGGGGUUCGGAUAGGGGAGGUUUCAUACCGUUUGCCGAGUCUUAAUGUAGGAUUUAUGUAUCGAUUUUAGAGUUGUCUUAUUUCUGACGUCUGUAGAUGUUAAUAAAAUUAAUUUUUGA
This 7188-nucleotide long non-coding RNA is filed under the name Megachile rotundata (alfalfa leafcutting bee). RNAcentral describes it as "uncharacterized LOC105662039, transcript variant X4". The record is from RNAcentral. Lineage: Eukaryota; Metazoa; Arthropoda; Insecta; Hymenoptera; Megachilidae.